This 115-nucleotide ribosomal RNA is filed under the name Neogale vison (American mink). The record is from RNAcentral. Lineage: Eukaryota; Metazoa; Chordata; Mammalia; Carnivora; Mustelidae.
GGCUACAGCCAAACCACCCUGAACGCCCCCGAUCUCUUCUGAUCUAGGAAGCUAAGCAGGGUAGGGCCUGGUUAGUACUUGGAUGGGAGGUUACCUACAUAUACCUCUGUAACAC